RNAcentral lists this ribosomal RNA (292 nucleotides) under uncultured bacterium. RNAcentral describes it as "partial 16S ribosomal RNA". It matches the Rfam family "Bacterial small subunit ribosomal RNA", at positions 505 to 796 of the family's 1533-position model. The record is from RNAcentral.
GUGUCAGCAGCCGCGGUAAUACGUAGGGUGCGAGCGUUGUCCGGAAUUACUGGGCGUAAAGAGCUCGUAGGCGGUUUGUCGCGUCGUCCGUGAAAACUUGGGGCUCAACCCCAAGCUUGCGGGCGAUACGGGCAGACUUGAGUACUGCAGGGGAGACUGGAAUUCCUGGUGUAGCGGUGAAAUGCGCAGAUAUCAGGAGGAACACCGGUGGCGAAGGCGGGUCUCUGGGCAGUAACUGACGCUGAGGAGCGAAAGCGUGGGUAGCGAACAGGAUUAGAAACCCUCGUAGUCC